GAUGAACGCUGGCGGCGUGCCUAAUACAUGCAAGUCGAGCGAACGGACGAGAAGCUUGCUUCUCUGAUGUUAGCGGCGGACGGGUGAGUAACACGUGGAUAACCUACCUAUAAGACUGGGAUAACUUCGGGAAACCGGAGCUAAUACCGGAUAAUAUUUUGAACCUCAUGGUUCAAAAGUGAAAGACGGUCUUGCUGUCACUUAUAGAUGGAUCCGCGCUGCAUUAGCUAGUUGGUAAGGUAACGGCUUACCAAGGCAACGAUGCAUAGCCGACCUGAGAGGGUGAUCGGACACACUGGAACUGAGAAACGGUCCAGACUCCUACGGGAGGCAGCAGUAGGGAAUCUUACGCAAUGGGCGAAAGCCUGACGGAGCAACGCCGCGUGAGUGAUGAAGGUCUUCGGAUCGUAAAACUCUGUUAUUAGGGAAGAACAUAUGUGUAAGUAACUGUGCACAUCUUGACGGUACCUAAUCAGAAAGCCACGGCUAACUACGUG
RNAcentral lists this ribosomal RNA (497 nucleotides) under uncultured bacterium. RNAcentral's name for it is "partial 16S ribosomal RNA". It matches the Rfam family "Bacterial small subunit ribosomal RNA", at positions 28 to 507 of the family's 1533-position model. The record is from RNAcentral.